Molecule: ribosomal RNA, 497 nt
Filed under: uncultured bacterium
Lineage: Bacteria
Description: partial 16S ribosomal RNA
Rfam family: Bacterial small subunit ribosomal RNA
Source: RNAcentral
GAUGAACGCUGGCGGCGUGCCUAAUACAUGCAAGUCGAGCGAACGGACGAGAAGCUUGCUUUUCUGAUGUUAGCGGCGGACGGGUGAGUAACACGUGGAUAACCUACCUAUAAGACUGGGAUAACUUCGGGAAACCGGAGCUAAUACCGGAUAAUAUUUUGAACCGCAUGGUUCAAAAGUGAAAGACGGUCUUGCUGUCACUUAUAGAUGGAUCCGCGCUGCAUUAGCUAGUUGGUAAGGUAACGGCUUACCAAGGCAACGAUGCAUAGCCGACCUGAGAGGUUGAUCGGCCACACUGGACCUGGAACACGGCCCAGACUCCUACGGGAGGCAGCAGAAGGGAAUCUUCCGCAAUGGGCGAAAGCCUGACGGAGCAACGCCGCGUGAGUGAUGAAGGUCUUCGGAUCGUAAAACUCUGUUAUUAGGGAAGAACACAUGUGUAAGUAACUGUGCACAUCUUGACGGUACCUAAUCAGAAAGCCACGGCUAACUACGUG